CCACUUUCAAGUGUUAGUCCUCCA
Molecule: non-coding RNA, 24 nt
Filed under: Arabidopsis thaliana (thale cress)
Lineage: Eukaryota; Viridiplantae; Streptophyta; Magnoliopsida; Brassicales; Brassicaceae
Source: RNAcentral